This 557-nucleotide ribosomal RNA is filed under the name uncultured Methylobacterium sp. RNAcentral's name for it is "bacterial SSU rRNA". It matches the Rfam family "Bacterial small subunit ribosomal RNA", at positions 102 to 694 of the family's 1533-position model. Lineage: Bacteria; Pseudomonadati; Pseudomonadota; Alphaproteobacteria; Hyphomicrobiales; Methylobacteriaceae. The record is from RNAcentral.
ACGGGUGAGUAACACGUGGGAACGUACCCUUUGGUUCGGAAUAACGCUGGGAAACUAGCGCUAAUACCGGAUACGCCCUUUUGGGGAAAGGCUUGCUGCCGAAGGAUCGGCCCGCGUCUGAUUAGCUAGUUGGUGGGGUAAUGGCCUACCAAGGCGACGAUCAGUAGCUGGUCUGAGAGGAUGAUCAGCCACACUGGGACUGAGACACGGCCCAGACUCCUACGGGAGGCAGCAGUGGGGAAUAUUGGACAAUGGGCGCAAGCCUGAUCCAGCCAUGCCGCGUGAGUGAUGAAGGCCUUAGGGUUGUAAAGCUCUUUUGUCCGGGACGAUAAUGACGGUACCGGAAGAAUAAGCCCCGGCUAACUUCGUGCCAGCAGCCGCGGUAAUACGAAGGGGGCUAGCGUUGCUCGGAAUCACUGGGCGUAAAGGGCGCGUAGGCGGCCAUUCAAGUCGGGGGUGAAAGCCUGUGGCUCAACCACAGAAUUGCCUUCGAUACUGUUUGGCUUGAGUAUGGUAGAGGUCGGUGGAACCGCGAGUGUAGAGGUGAAAUUCGUAGA